UGAGAUUUGAGGAGGACAAACAUUCAAAGC
Molecule: non-coding RNA, 30 nt
Filed under: Homo sapiens (human)
Lineage: Eukaryota; Metazoa; Chordata; Mammalia; Primates; Hominidae
Source: RNAcentral